AUUGAACGCUGGCGGCAUGCUUUACACAUGCAAGUCGAACGGUAACAGGCCUUCGGGUGCUGACGAGUGGCGAACGGGUGAGUAAUACAUCGGAACGUGCCCAGUCGUGGGGAGUAACGUAGCGAAAGCUACGCUAAUACCGCAUGCGACCUGAGGGUGAAAGCGGGGACCGAAAGGCCUCGCGCGAUUGGAGCGGCCGAUGGCAGAUUAGGUAGUUGGUGGGGUAAAGGCCCACCAAGCCUGCGAUCUGUAGCUGGUCUGAGAGGACGACCAGCCACACUGGGACUGAGACACGGCCCAGACUCCUACGGGAGGCAGCAGUAGGGAAUAUUGGACAAUGGGGGGAACCCGUGAUCCAGCCAUGCCGCGUGAGGGAAGAAGGUCCUCUGGAUUGUAAACCUCUUUUGGUCAGGAAACAAACCUGCGCUAUACGCGCAGCUGAGGGUACCUGCAGAAUAAGCACCGGCUAACUCCGUGCCAGCAGCCG
This 487-nucleotide ribosomal RNA is filed under the name uncultured bacterium. RNAcentral's name for it is "bacterial SSU rRNA". It matches the Rfam family "Bacterial small subunit ribosomal RNA", at positions 29 to 517 of the family's 1533-position model. The record is from RNAcentral.